Molecule: ribosomal RNA, 492 nt
Filed under: uncultured bacterium
Lineage: Bacteria
Description: partial 16S ribosomal RNA
Rfam family: Bacterial small subunit ribosomal RNA
Source: RNAcentral
AGUGAACGCUGGCGGUAGGCCUAACACAUGCAAGUCGAACGGCAGCACAGUAAGAGCUUGCUCUUACGGGUGGCGAGUGGCGGACUGGUGAGGAAUACAUCGGAAUCUACUUUUUCGUGGGGGAUAACGUAGGGAAACUUACGCUAAUACCGCAUACGACCUACGGGUGAAAGCAGGGGAUCUUCGGACCUUGCGCGAUUGAAUGAGCCGAUGUCGGAUUAGCUAGUUGGCGGGGUAAAGGCCCACCAAGGCGACGAUCCGUAGCUGGUCUGAGAGGAUGAUCAGCCACACUGGAACUGAGACACGGUCCAGACUCCUACGGGAGGCAGCAGUGGGGAAUAUUGGACAAUGGGCGCAAGCCUGAUCCAGCAAUACCGCGUGAGUGAAGAAGGCCUUCGGGUUGUAAAGCCCUUUUGUUGGGAAAGAAAAGCAGCAGGUUAAUACCCCGCUGUUCUGACGGUACCCAAAGAAUAAGCACCGGCUAACUUCGUG